Molecule: unclassified non-coding RNA, 363 nt
Filed under: uncultured Ktedonobacteria bacterium
Lineage: Bacteria; Bacillati; Chloroflexota; Ktedonobacteria
Description: contains 16S-23S intergenic spacer region
Source: RNAcentral
UCCGGUUUAUCUCCGGCAGUCUGUGUAGAUAUGCAACUACACACGGGGGUUGCGCUCGUUGCGGGACUUAACCCAACAUCUCACGACACGAGCUGACGACAGCCAUGCAGCAUCUGUCUAUCCGUCCCUCGCGGGAGGCUCCCCUUUCGAGGAGUUGCGAAUAGAUGUCAAGCCCUGGUAAGGUUCUUCGCGUCGCAUCGAAUUAAACCACACGCUCCGCUGCUUGUGCGGGUCCCCGUCAAUUCCUUUGAGUUUUAGUCUUGCGACCGUACUCCCCAGGCGGACCACUUAAUGCGUUAGCUUCGGCACAGGAGGGGUCAACACCCCCCACACCUAGUGGUCAUCGUUUACUGCUAGGACUAC